CGGUAUAGCUCAGCUGGUAGAGCGGCGCAUUCGUAAUGCGUAGGUCGUAGGUUCAAGUCCUAUUGCCG
RNAcentral lists this transfer RNA (68 nucleotides) under human gut metagenome. It matches the Rfam family "tRNA". Rfam says of the family: Transfer RNA (tRNA) molecules are approximately 80 nucleotides in length. Their secondary structure includes four short double-helical elements and three loops (D, anti-codon, and T loops). Further hydrogen bonds mediate the characteristic L-shaped molecular structure. tRNAs have two regions of fundamental functional importance: the anti-codon, which is responsible for specific mRNA codon recognition, and the 3' end, to which the tRNAs corresponding amino acid is attached (by aminoacyl-tRNA synthetases). tRNAs cope with the degeneracy of the genetic code in two manners: having more than one tRNA (with a specific anti-codon) for a particular amino acid; and 'wobble' base-pairing, i.e. permitting non-standard base-pairing at the 3rd anti-codon position. The record is from RNAcentral.